GGUAUUUUUAGGGUGAGGGAAGGAAGGCAUCCCCUCAUGGGUGUUUAAGAGCAGCUACCUACUAAGUUUACUUUGAAGCUUUUUUUUGCACACUGAACUCAAUUGUGAGUUAUUACUGUUACCCAGACAACUUCAGCUCAUUGAGGUGGUAUGGGUGCAUUGUUCCAUAUCUCUUAACCCUACAGUGGUAAUUAUUGCAGUUUGGGAUAAACUACAAUAAU
Non-coding RNA from Pelobates cultripes (western spadefoot toad), 221 nucleotides. The record is from the annotation of a GenBank genome assembly. NCBI's taxonomy places the organism in Eukaryota, Metazoa, Chordata, Amphibia, Anura, Pelobatidae.